This 623-nucleotide long non-coding RNA is filed under the name Ananas comosus (pineapple). RNAcentral's name for it is "long non-coding RNA (ACOM_LNC027865)". The record is from RNAcentral. Lineage: Eukaryota; Viridiplantae; Streptophyta; Magnoliopsida; Poales; Bromeliaceae.
ACUUUUUUCGAUUUUGCAAAUUCGGACCGGAUUUUCAACAAACUGACCAAAAUACCCUUAUUACUUUUUCUCUCUCCUCUUUCUCUCUCCUUUUUUUUUCUCUCGUUUAUUUUUUUUUCUCUCACCAAAGAAGCAGCGGAGCCAGAGGCGGAGGCAGAAACGACCCGCCUCGCCUCUCAUCCUCUCGCCCUCGCCCUCGCCUUUGCCUGCGCAACCCCCACUUUCCUUGCCUCCGACCCCGCCAAGGCCAAGCCGUGACUCUUUUUUCCUUUUCCCUCUCCGACUCUCCUCCAUCGUCUCCGACGACGACGUCUCUCUCGCCCUCUCUCACCCUUAUCCGCCCUUCUCGUCCUCUCCCCCUCCCUCCUCCUUUGCCGCCUCCGACGACCACGCAUCUUCGCCGACCACGCAUCUUGUGCCCUUUAAGAGGAGAAACAGUGUAAUAAGAGAAGAAAUAGUGCAACAAGAUGAGAAACAGUGUAACAAGAGGAGAAACAGUAUAAAUAUCUCUUAAAGGGAUGCAGUUUACAUCUCAAAGGGUGCAAGAAGAGGAAAAAUAGUGUAAAUACCUCUCAAAGAGUGCAACUUUCGUUUAAAGAGUGUAACUUUUAUCUUAAUGGAGG